This 253-nucleotide ribosomal RNA is filed under the name uncultured bacterium. RNAcentral describes it as "partial 16S ribosomal RNA". It matches the Rfam family "Bacterial small subunit ribosomal RNA", at positions 524 to 776 of the family's 1533-position model. The record is from RNAcentral.
UACGUAGGAGGCAAGCGUUGUCCGGAAUUACUGGGUGUAAAGCGCGUGUAGGCGGCCGGCCAAGUCUGUGGUGAAAUCGCUCGGCUCAACUGGGCGGGGUCCAUGGAAACUGGUCAGCUGGAGGACGGUAGAGGUGAGUGGAAUUCCCGGUGUAGUGGUGAAAUGCGUAGAGAUCGGGAGGAACACCCGUGGCGAAGGCGGCUCACUGGGCCGGUACUGACGCUGAGACGCGAAGGCGUGGGGAGCGAACGGG